UUUCCGUAGGUGAACCUGCGGAGGGAUCAUUACAGAGUUCAUGCCCUACCGGGUAGAUCUCCCACCCUAUGUUAUUAUUACUUUGUUGCUUUGGCGGGCCGUUAGGCUCCGGCCCGACUACCGGCCCCGGCUGGUAAGCGCCCGCCAGAGGACCCAAAACCCUGAAUAUUAGUGUCGUCUGAGUACUAUAUAAUAGUCAAAACUUUCAACAACGGAUCUCUUGGUUCUG
Molecule: unclassified non-coding RNA, 229 nt
Filed under: plant metagenome
Description: partial contains small subunit ribosomal RNA, internal transcribed spacer 1, and 5.8S ribosomal RNA
Source: RNAcentral